RNAcentral lists this ribosomal RNA (500 nucleotides) under uncultured archaeon. RNAcentral's name for it is "bacterial SSU rRNA". It matches the Rfam family "Archaeal small subunit ribosomal RNA", at positions 354 to 856 of the family's 1478-position model. The record is from RNAcentral.
ACUGCACGAAAGUGUGAUAAGGGAAUCCUAAGUGCUCAUGCUUUGCAUGGGCUUUUGUCAAGAGUAAAUAUCUUGGCGAAUAAGUGGUGGGUAAGACUGGUGCCAGCCGCCGCGGUAACACCAGCGCCACAAGUGGUGACCAGCAUUAUUGGGCCUAAAGCGUCCGUAGCAGGAAAAACAAAUCUCUUGUGAAACUGUUCAGCUCAACUGAACAACGUGCAGAAGACACUAUUUUUCUAGAGACCGGGAGGAGUCAGAGGUAUUUUUGGGGGAGCGGUAAAAUGCUAUAAUCCCAAGAGGACCACCGAUGGCGAAGGCAUCUGACUAGAACGGAUCUGACUGUGAGGGACGAAGGCCAGGGGAGCGAACCGGAUUAGAUACCCGAGUAGUCCUGGCAGUAAACGCUGCGAGCUAGGUGUUGCAUAAUCCACGGAUUGUGCAGUGUCGAAAUGAAGAUGUUAAGCUCGCCGCCUGGGAAGUACGGUCGCAAGACUGAAACU